Molecule: ribosomal RNA, 370 nt
Filed under: uncultured organism
Description: partial 16S ribosomal RNA
Rfam family: Bacterial small subunit ribosomal RNA
Source: RNAcentral
GUAGGUGGCAAGCGUUGUCCGGAAUUAUUGGGCGUAAAGCGCGCGCAGGCGGUCCUUUAAGUCUGAUGUGAAAGCCCACGGCUCAACCGUGGAGGGUCAUUGGAAACUGGGGGACUUGAGUACAGAAGAGGAAAGCGGAAUUCCAAGUGUAGCGGUGAAAUGCGUAGAGAUUUGGAGGAACACCAGUGGCGAAGGCGGCUUUCUGGUCUGUAACUGACGCUGAGGCGCGAAAGCGUGGGGAGCAAACAGGGAUUAGAUACCCUGGUAGUCCACGCCGUAAACGAUGAGUGCUAAGUGUUAGGGGGUUCCCGCCCCUUAGUGCUGCAGCUAACGCAUUAAGCACUCCGCUGGGGAGUGCGCCGCAAGGCUG